AUGGAGCAAGUAACCGGAUACGCCAGUGAUGAUUCCGGUAGCGAUAAUGAAUCCUCGUCAUUGAAUGCGAACCAACCUCCCGGAGACAACUAUAUGAGUCAGGAUGAAUCGUACAAUGGUAAUCUACAUGGCAAUGAUGACGAUGAGGAAUAUGAUAUAGAUGAACAAUUUUAUGCAAAUAGUGUGAGCCAGAUAAAUGCUAAUGGUGACAAUGAGCGUAAUAAUAUAGAUGAUGACAAUGCCGAGAGCGAGGUCGAUGCAUCUCGUAGUGGGAGCGGUAGCCAAGGAGGUGUUGAUGGUCCUAGUGGGAAUGAUGAGCACAGCGAUGAUGAUCAGUUUGACCUUGACAUGUGCUAUGAUGAAUAUCAGCAAGAGUCACUUGAUAGGCAUUGGACAGUGAUGGUAAAGACAUUCAGGUCAUUGGACGAGGUGUACACGUUCUACAACAAGCACGCGAGAGAACGUGGGUUCAACAUCAGGAAGGACUCGCUAAAAUUUUCGAAGGAUCACGCAAGGACUCCACGCUUGAGGAGGUAUCUCUGUUCCGCCGCAGGAAAACGACAGGCCAAGUUCUGUACCAUGGAAGGCCGGACCCGCAGGCUUAGACCGAAGAGUCGAUUCUUAUGCGAAGCCCAUUUGACAGUUAAGCUUGAUAAAAAGCUCAAUCUUUGGUAUGUCAGCAGUUUCUCCGAUGAUCACAACCACACUCUUGCACGACCGGACGAAGUCCCUUUCCUCCGAUCUCAUAAUCGGAUCAAAGCAUUUGAGAGAGCUGAGAUCUUAGCUAUGGCUGGAGCUGGGAUAAGAAAACAUAUCAUUUUUGAUAACAUCGUUAGCAGGUAUGGGUCGUAUGCAAAGUCAUCAUUUCAGGAGACAAAGUUGUAUAACAUGUGCUAUAGGGAGAAGAUGAAAUUGCUUGCACAAGGUGAUGCUGAUACUGCCAUAGGAAUCAUGUUGACCAGAAAGGACAGAGAUCCAGACUACUUCUUUGAGCACAUGGUUGACGCUGAAGGCAGGCUCCAAAACCUCUUCUCGUGUGAUUCGCAGUCACGCCGGGAUUAUCUAGACUAUGGUGAUGUUGUUGUGUUCGAUAGCACAUACAAGAUGAACAUGUAUGGAAUGUCGUUCAUCCCUUUUGUGGGUCUGAACAACCACCGUUGCACUACGGUAUUCGCCUGCGCCAUUGUUUCAGACAAGACUGAGGCUACAUAUGUUUGGUUGCUUAACACGUUCUUGAAAGCUAACUGUCAGAAGAGGCCCAAAUCUGUAAUUACAGAUGGAGAUGCAGCGAUGAUAAGGGCUAUUGGGAAGGUGCUUUCUGACGUGUGGCAUCGUCUAUGUUCAUGGCAUAUUGAAAAGAAUAUGCAGAAACACCUCAACCACAAGUCAUUGAAGGAGUUUAGGGCAUUAUUAUACUAUGCCACUACACAUAAGGUUUUUGAGGAGAGAUGGGCCACGUUUGUGCGCAAAUGGCAGACGGAGAAAACGAAAACAUGGCUCCAUAGGAUGUACAGGAAGAGGACGCUUUGGGCUGCAUCAUAUUUGUCUGGUGGGAUUUUCCUUGGUAUGCGCAGUAAUCAGAGGAGUGAGAGUCUGAACUCCAGCCUGCACCUUCAUCUUGACUAUGGUAUGACGAUCGUUGACAUGAUUGUACACUACGAAAAUUGUAUUGUUCGCCUCCGUGAGAAUGAAGCUUAUGAUGACUACACGGCCUCACAGACUCUUCUAGUAACAGUGACUGAGUGUCAGGCCAUUGAGUCGUAUGCUGCGAAAGCAUUCACGCAGGCAAACUUUUAUAUGUUGCAACAAGAUAUGAAGAAGGUACAGGAGAUUUGUGGUUGCGUGGAAGAAUAA
This 1854-nucleotide ribosomal RNA is filed under the name Triticum aestivum (bread wheat). RNAcentral describes it as "partial small subunit ribosomal RNA". Lineage: Eukaryota; Viridiplantae; Streptophyta; Magnoliopsida; Poales; Poaceae. The record is from RNAcentral.